This 2578-nucleotide long non-coding RNA is filed under the name Anas platyrhynchos platyrhynchos (common mallard). RNAcentral's name for it is "lncRNA (ENSAPLG00000025787.1)". The record is from RNAcentral. Lineage: Eukaryota; Metazoa; Chordata; Aves; Anseriformes; Anatidae.
CGGGGGGACAUGGACAGAAACAAGGGAAGGGACAGGGGGCACCCAGAGGUGCAGGGACCUGGGGACAUGGGGGCACGGGGACCCCCCCAGCAGCGCACCCAUCCACAAGCAGUGAGGCAAAGCUGCCUCUGCCACAGCCACCCCCCAAACCCCGGGACCACCCCGGGGGGUGCCCGUGGAGCCCCCCCAGCCCCUCACUUGUUCUUGAACUCCUCGACCAGCCCCUGCAUGCUGCCCAGCUCGGCCUCCAGCCGCAGCCGCUCCUGGCCCAGGCUGUCGAGCUGGCGCCGCAGGGUGCCCACGUACGCCUCGAAGAGCGCGCUCAGGUUGCUGCGGGGGGGCUUCUGGUUCUGCAGCAGCCCCCACUUGGUCUCCAGCAUCUUGUUCUGCUGCUCCAGGAACCGCACCUGGGGGGGGACACGGGGAGGUGGCACCACGGCCUUGGCACGGGGGCAGCGGAUCGGGGGGCGUGGGGAUGGGGGGCUCAGCGCGGUGCGGUGAGGCUUGGGGGGGGUAAGUGGGAGUGUGGGGGCUGGGGUGCAGCUUCGGGGCCUGGGGUGCGGGUGUGGGUGCUGGGUGCAAGUCUGGGGUGCUGGGUGCAACCGUGGGGUGCUGGGUGUGGACCUGGAAUGCAGGCGUGGGGUGCUGGGUGCGGGUUUGGGGUGCUGCUUUGGGGUCUUGGGUGCAAAUGGGGGGGUCAGGUGCACAUUUGGGGUGCAAAUCUGUAGUCCUGGGGUGCAGGUUUGGGGUGGGGGGUGCACACUUGGGGUGCGGGGUGCAGAGUGGGGCUGGCCCCAUGGACCCCCUGCUGCCCCUCAACCCCAUCCCCACCAUGGGGUGAGGCCCCACAGAGCAGUCAGACUGGGGGGGGGAGGAAGAAGGGAGGUUGCAGGGGGGGGACAACAAAGGGACAAUGCCUCCCCCCCCAGCUCCCACUCUGUGCCACCCAGCAAGGGGACAGGAGUGUCCCUAUGGCAUGUCCCUGGGGGGGCAGCAAGUCCCUGGGGGGCCCAAGAUGUGCCCAAAGGGGUCAGGAGGUCCCCGAGGGGGGUUGGGUGUCCCCAAGGGGGUCUCGGUGUCCCCGAAGGGGCCAGGAAGUGUCCGACGGGGUCAGGAGGUCCCAAAGGGGCCAAGGAGGUCCCCAGGGGGUCUGCACAUCCCCAAAGGGGUCAGGAUGUGCCCAAAGGGUCCAGGAGGUCCUGGAGCAGUUCCCAAUGUCCCCAGGGGGGGCAGGAGGUCCCCAGGGGGUCCCAGCACCCCCAAAGCUCUCAGGAUGCACCCGGGAUGUCCCCGAGGGGCUCAGGAGGACCCCAGGGGGUCCCGGCCACCUCCGGUCCCGCCACCAGGGGAGGUUUGGGGUGAACAAAAGCGGGACGGAGCCGUGCCCCCCCCCGAAGCCCCUCAGGGCCAGCACAGUGGGGCAGGGGGCACCCAGGGGCAGGGGGCGCCCAGGGGCAGGGGGCGCCCAGGGGCAGGGGGCGCCCAGCCUCACCUUGUCGAUGAAGGAGGCGAACUUGUUGUUGAGGGUCUUGAUCUGCUCCUUCUCCUCCUUGCGCACCCGCUGGAUGCUGGGGUCGAUCUCCAGGUUGAGGGGUGUCAGCAGGCUCUGGUUGACGCUGACGGCCGUGAUGCCCCCCCCGGACCCGCAGGAGGUGGCCGGGCCCCGGUAGAGCCCCCCGGCGCCGUACCGGGCCCCCCCCAAGCCCCCGAAGGCCGAGGCCGCGCUCAUCCUGGCGGCGGGGCCGGCGGUGUAGGAGCGGGAGCUGAAGGAGCGCACGGAGCUGCUGCGGGCGGGCGGCCUGGGCACCGACAUGGGGGCGGCGGGGGGGCGGCGAGAGGGGACAGAAGGGGGCGAGAGGCUCGAGGGGGGGGUCGCGAGCAGGUGGCGAGGCUGCGAGGAGGCUGCACGAAGCUUGCGAUGAAGUUGCAAGAAGCUUGCAAGGAGGUCGCAACGGGGCGGCAGGGAGAUUUUGGGGAGGUUGCAAGGAGCACCCCAGGGGGUUGCAGGGAGGGGGCGCGGAGGUCCCGGGAGGCCGGGGGGGGCUGCGGGCAGGUUGCGAGGCUGCAGGGGUGCGAGGAGGCCGCAGGAGGCUGCAGGGGCCGGGCCGGGCGGGCGAGGCCGGGUUUAUAUCCCCGAGCUGGGGGAGGAGAGCAGGAAGGAGGCCGGGGCCCAGGCAGCACCUGCGCCGCUUAACCCCUUCGCAGCGCGGGGGGGCCCUGGGACCCGCCGGGAUCCUGCCCCCGCGGGGCGCUGGGGUGGGCGCUCGGCCCCGAACCCCAGGGCUGGGUUUUGGGCUGGGGGCAGGGGGCGCAGGCUGCCCCCACCCGGAGCUCAGCACCGCUCCGGGAACCGAGCCCGGGACCCAGGACCCCUGCCCCCAGGUGGCCCCAAGCGGUGUCCCCAGCCCCGCGUCCCCACCUGGUGUCCCCAGGCCGUGUCCCCAACCCCUGACCCCAACCCCACGGCCCCAACACCCCUCUCCAAGCCGUGUCCCCAUCUGGUGUCCCCAGGCGGUGUCCCCAGCCCCCAGCCCCAGCCCCCUGUCUCCAACACCACGUCCCCAGCCCCUGACCCCCA